UCCUAACCACUGGACCACCAGGGAAUUCCCAAGACUUCUUUUUUAAAUGACUUUUUUUCCCACUCUGAUUCAUUCCUGGGAUCAGUUUCAUGUGGGAACAUUAAACCAACCUUGCAUUACUAGAAUAAAGCCACUUUGAUUGUGAUAUAUUACUGUUUUACAUACCAUGGAUACAGUUUGUGCUUUUAUUUACAAAUUUUGCAUGCAUGUUCAAAAGAGAAACUGGCCUAUGAUUCUAUUCUUGUAAUAUUCUUUUUACUUUUGAUCUGAAGCUUUCGUUGGCCUUAUAAACAUUUUGAGCAAUAUAUUAUUUUCUGUUUCCUGGAAGGGUUUUAUGUAAGAUUACCAAUAUUUCUUCCCUAAAUAUUCGGAGGAAUUUACUUGGAAAGCCAUUUAUCCCUGGAAAUCAUUUUCUGUAAAGGUACUUAAUUAUACAAACAACUUUUUGAGUAGAUAUAGAUUUUUUAGAUAUUUCUUUUCUUGGGUUAGUCUUGUUAGGUUGCAUGUUUUAAGAAUUUGUAAUUUUGGAUGAAUUUUCAAAUUUAUAAAUAUAAAAUUAUAAUUUUAACAGCUUUAUCGGGAUGUAAUUUACAUACCAUAAUUUAACCCUUUAAUGUAUACAAUUCAGUGGUUCUUAGUGUAACCACUAAAAGACGUGUGUAACCAUCACAACCAUCCAAUUUUAGAUUUCUGUCCCCCCACAAAGAAACCCAUUACACGUUAACAAUGUUUUUUCAUUCUCUCAACCCUCUCAGCUCUAGGCAACCCCUAAUCUCCUUUCUGUCUCUACAGAUUUGCUAUUCUGGGCAUUUCAUAUAAAUGGGACCAUACAAUAUGUGACCUUUUGAGAGUGGCUGCUUUUCUUUACAGAAUGCUUUCAUGGUUCAUCCAUGUUGUAACAUGGAUCAAUAUUUCAUUCCUUUUAUAGCUGAAUGCUAUUCUAUCGUACGGAUAUUCCACAUUUUGUUUAUUCAUUUGUCAGAUUGACAUUUGAAUUUUUUCCACCUUUUGUUUUAGAAAUAUGCUUCUAUGAACAUCCACGUACAAGCUUUUGUGCAGACAUAAGUUUCUAUUUCUCUUAGGUAUAUAUUUAGUAGUGGAACUGCUGGGUCAUAGGGUAACUCUAUGUUUAACACUUGCAGGAACUGUCAAGCUGUUUCGUAAAAUGGCCGCACAUUUUGUAAAAUGGCUCAGACUGUACUUUCUAUCCAAAGGUAUCCAAAGUCACUUUAGAUGCAAAAUGUUUAAAGUUGACCUUUGCUGCUGCCCAAAUCGUAGCCACUGUGGGCAGUCUGCAAGAUGGCAUCUUAGGUUUCUCAGGAAGAAAUUAGAAUACACGAAGGGGGAAAUAAGUGUACAAUUACAUAACGUAGAUUUCAUAUUUAAUUUUAUGGGAAAAGCAAUAAUUAGGUGGCUUUUGGUUUUAACUGGAAAUAGCCACUCAUUGGGAAAUAAUUACUCGCUAAUGGCCUUAGCGAGUCACUCUGGAGCUUCUCCUAGAACUAGAAAACCUAAGUUCUGCUCACAGCAGAACAUGGAGACGGUGCCCAGUGCUGGCGAGGCAGCACAGAACAGGGGAGUCGUCGCUGGAGGGAGCGGAAGACAGUGCAGCCACUCUGGAAAGGAGUUGGCCAGCUUCCUAGAAAGCGAAACUACAUUGCCCACUUUUCCCCAAUGUCACCUCUUGUGAAAGUCAAGUCAGCGUCCCAGCAGGAUCCUGACGUUGACACGACUGCCCCUGUCAUCCGUUGCCCUGGGAAGGCCCGCGGCGGCUUUCGGUCUGGGGCUCUUCCCAGUCAGGCGAGCGUUUGUGUACAGCUUCUGUGUGGACUUCAGUCUCCAUUUCCCCGGGGUAAGUGCCCAUGACUGCGGUUGCCGAGUCCUGCGAUGGCUGCUUUUGUAGGAAGUUUCGCAGUAGGGGAGCGCCUGGCCUGAGCCCCGCGUGCCGGCCUCUGCCCACCUCUCUGACGCCUCAACCCCAGGAGGGAAGGUCCACGUGGACCAGCGCUCCCUCUGCACCUGCUGUGCCCUCGGUCCUCAGGGUCACAGGGCUUCCCCAGAGCACGGGCAGCGUGGGCCCCUCCCUGCGUCCCGCCCCACCCCCGCCUCAUCCGGGCCCCCCGCCCCCCGUGGCUUUGGUGGGAGCGUCUCAAGGAAGGACCCCCUCCUCCGAGCCUACUCCACCCUCAGCCCCCUUUCCCACAGAGCUUCCGUCCCGACGCCAGGCCCGUGGGGCUCCCGCAGCAGCAGCGCUGGGACUGCCGGGUUUCUGCAGUUUCAGUUCGGACUCCAUCUACCCGGAGUCAGAGCCCGCAGCGCGGCUCAUCCUGGGCACGGAGGCUGGGGGACGACGGGAGGCUGAAGAGCAUGGCGUCCACCUUCACCCCCUCCCUCCUCUCUUGGCUGAGCCCUGCGGCCCCGCGGGUUCCCAGUGGGCCCCCCCCGGGGGGCCUGUCCCUUCAGGUCCUCCCAGCUGCCUGACACCCCUCUGCCCCCAGCGUGGACCCCCAGAGCCCCAGCUCUUCCCACUCCUGGUCCAGCAGGACGGGGUCCCUGCGGCAACCUGGACAGGCGGGCGAUGGGCAGCCCGGCCCCUCCCGGGAGGCAGCCCCGUGGGGUGGGGAGGGGGGCGGGUACUGCGAGCCACCCAUGGUCGAGCGCGUCACCUCGGUGCGUGGCAUGGGGCGCCGUGGCUACACGCAUCUGGAUGGCCGGGAUCAGACCCAGCCCUGCCACCAACUGGCUGGGUCCCCGGAGGCCGGUCACUGGACCCCAUUGUCCCUGUUCACCAUCUGCAACGUGCGUGACCCGAGGACCCCCUCACAGGUGGUCGUGAAGGCUGACCGAGUCGGUUUGUGUGGAGGACAGAGAACAGUGAGGCCAGCAGCCGGUGCUGUGCCUUGCGGUGGAGGAAAGCGGGACUCAGAGGACUGCGGGACUCCGGCAUCCAGGGUGGGGCCCGGGCACGUGGGCCCCGAAGUCCACCGGAGCGGCGGGCACAUGGAGCUUCGAGGCUGGGGGAGAAAAUCAAGAGCAUCAAGAAGAAGCUGAGGACUUCCCUGUUAGCGCAGUGGUUAAGAAUCCGCCUGCCAAUGCAGGAGACAUGGGUUUGAGCCCUGGUCCGGGAAGAUCCCACAUGCCACGGAGCAGCUAAGCCCGUGCGCCACAACUACU
Molecule: RNA transcript, 3174 nt
Organism: Balaenoptera musculus (blue whale)
Lineage: Eukaryota; Metazoa; Chordata; Mammalia; Artiodactyla; Balaenopteridae
Exons: 4
Source: RefSeq, a predicted model, not a curated record